GUCUCGCCAUGCUGCUCCUGGGCCUGCUGCUGCUGCUGCCCCUGCUGGCUGGCGCCCGCCUGCUGUGGAACUGGUGGAAGCUCCGGAGCCUCCACCUCCCGCCUCUUGCCCCGGGCUUCUUGCACUUGCUGCAGCCCGACCUCCCAAUCUAUCUGCUUGGCCUGACUCAGAAAUUCGGGCCCAUCUACAGGCUCCACCUUGGGCUGCAAGAUGUGGUGGUGCUGAACUCCAAGAGGACCAUUGAGGAAGCCAUGGUCAAAAAGUGGGCAGACUUUGCUGGCAGACCUGAGCCACUUACCUACAAGCUGGUGUCUAGGAACUACCCGGACCUGUCCUUGGGAGACUACUCCCUGCUCUGGAAAGCCCACAAGAAGCUCACCCGCUCAGCCCUGCUGCUGGGCAUCCGUGACUCCAUGGAGCCAGUGGUGGAGCAGCUGACCCAGGAGUUCUGUGAGCGCAUGAGAGCCCAGCCCGGCACCCCUGUGGCCAUUGAGGAGGAAUUCUCUCUCCUCACCUGCAGCAUCAUCUGUUACCUCACCUUCGGAGACAAGAUCAAGGUGCCUCACAGCCCCUCAGGCCCACC
Molecule: unclassified non-coding RNA, 583 nt
Filed under: Homo sapiens (human)
Lineage: Eukaryota; Metazoa; Chordata; Mammalia; Primates; Hominidae
Description: cytochrome P450 family 21 subfamily A member 2 (ENSG00000206338.9, ENSG00000232414.6, ENSG00000233151.6)
Source: RNAcentral